GGAUUCCCCUAGUAACUGCGAGUGAAGCGGGAAAAGCUCAAAUUUAAAAUCUGGCGGUCUCUGGYCGUCCGAGUUGUAAUCUAGAGAAGUGCUGCCCGCGCUGGACCGUGUACAAGUCUCCUGGAAUGGAGCGUCAUAGAGGGUGAGAAUCCCGUCUCUGACACGGACUACCAGGGCUUUGUGGUACGCUCUCAAAGAGUCGAGUUGUUUGGGAAUGCAGCUCAAAAUGGGUGGUAAAUUCCAUCUAAAGCUAAAUAUUGGCGAGAGACCGAUAGCGAACAAGUACCGUGAGGGAAAGAUGAAAAGAACUUUGGAAAGAGAGUUAAACAGUACGUGAAAUUGCUGAAAGGGAAACGCUUGAAGUCAGUCGCGUUGGCCGGGGAUCAGCCUCGCUUUUUUGYGUGGUGUACUUUCUGGUUGACGGGUCAGCAUCAAUUUUGACCGCUGGAAAAAGGCUUGGGGAAUGUGGCAGCUUCGGCUGUGUUAUAGCCCUUUGUCACAUACAGCGGUUGGGAUUGAGGAACUCAGCACGCCGCAAGGCCGGGUUUCGACCACGUUCGUGCUUAGGAUGCUGGCAUAAUGGCUUUAAGCGACCCGUCUUGAAACACGGACCAAGGAGUCUAACAUGCCUGCGAGUGUUUGGGUGGAAAACCCGAGCGCGUAAUGAAAGUGAAAGUUGAGAUCCCUGUCGUGGGGAGCAUCGACGCCCGGACCAGAACUUUUGGGACGGAUCCGCGGUAGAGCAUGUAUGUUGGGACCCGAAAGAUGGUGAACUAUGCCUGAAUAGGGUGAAGCCAGAGGAAACUCUGGUGGAGGCUCGUAGCGAUUCUGACGUGCAAAUCGAUCGUCAAAUUUGGGUAUAGGGGCGAAAGACUAAUCGA
Molecule: ribosomal RNA, 881 nt
Filed under: Macrolepiota dolichaula
Lineage: Eukaryota; Fungi; Basidiomycota; Agaricomycetes; Agaricales; Agaricaceae
Description: LSU rRNA
Rfam family: Eukaryotic large subunit ribosomal RNA
Source: RNAcentral